Solea senegalensis (Senegalese sole) is the source of this 711-nucleotide long non-coding RNA. RefSeq lists it as uncharacterized. The transcript is spliced from 3 exons. Lineage: Eukaryota; Metazoa; Chordata; Actinopteri; Pleuronectiformes; Soleidae. The record is from RefSeq and is a predicted model, not a curated record.
GGUUAUUGGCUGUAUAAAUGUAUAUAUUGUAUUUCCCUUCUGUGUCUUUUAGUUAUGUUGCAGCAGGUCUGGCGAUUGCAGCAGGUGUGUGUCACGCCCCUUACCGGCAUCUGUAGUGCAGCCGUGUCAUGGGCUGCUAAUGCAGACCUGUUCAUAUAGUCCCGUGGUUGUUCAGUCUCUCUCUCUCCUCUGCCAAGUAUGUGCCAUGUGUUCGCUCUCCAGGUUGGCGUGUAUGCCGUGAUGGUGUGUGUGUGUCCCCUUCCGGUUAGCCACCGCUGCCGCCGCUAGCUUCUGACGGCUUCAUUAUUUAUUGGUGCAGGCUACAGCCCGCCAUGCAGCCUGCCUGGCGUUAGGUUGCUGUUGUUGCCCUGCCUUGCCUCUUGCCUUUAUCUCCACGUUUUGUUUCUUUUUGUUGCCUUGCUCAUAGUUGCUCUGCCCUCGUCAGUUAGACGCUUGUUUUAAAGUAGUGUACUGUAGUUCAAGACUGACUGACCGCGACUCCUUAGUGGGGGGGGUGGGAAGUAGCACAGCUUUGAGGACCUGCAAAAGUUAUGCAUGUAGCAUUAUGGUUUUGUUUUCUUUUGUGUUGAUUUGAGUUUGUUUGAUAUUUUGUUUGGUUUCUUUUCUCUUUGUUUGCUGUGCAGGACCUCAGCUUAGUUAUUUCCUCAGUCUCAACUUAAGCUGAGUCUGUGGUACAGAUUAAUAGAAUAG